RNAcentral lists this ribosomal RNA (484 nucleotides) under uncultured bacterium. RNAcentral describes it as "partial 16S ribosomal RNA". It matches the Rfam family "Bacterial small subunit ribosomal RNA", at positions 30 to 507 of the family's 1533-position model. The record is from RNAcentral.
AUUGAACGCUGGCGGCAGGCCUAACACAUGCAAGUCGAGCGGAUGAAGGGAGCUUGCUCCUGGAUUCAGCGGCGGACGGGUGAGUAAUGCCUAGGAAUCUGCCUGGUAGUGGGGGAUAACGUCCGGAAACGGGCGCUAAUACCGCAUACGUCCUGAGGGAGAAAGUGGGGGAUCUUCGGACCUCACGCUAUCAGAUGAGCCUAGGUCGGAUUAGCUAGUUGGUGGGGUAAAGGCCUACCAAGGCGACGAUCCGUAACUAGCCUGAGAGGGUGAUCAGUCACACUGGAACUGAGACACGGUCCAGACUCCUACGGGAGGCAGCAGUGGGGAAUAUUGGACAAUGGGCGAAAGCCUGAUCCAGCCAUGCCGCGUGUGUGAAGAAGGUCUUCGGAUUGUAAAGCACUUUAAGUUGGGAGGAAGGGCAGUAAGUUAAUACCUUGCUGUUUUGACGUUACCAACAGAAUAAGCACCGGCUAACUUCGUG